AUGAGGGCUUCGGCCUAAACCCCUAACCAUUGUGAACGCUACAUGUUUCGUUCCUCGCUGGUGGCGGCUUCGCCUAACCGACCCUUGCGGGGAGCUACCCGCCGGGGCACUAAACUCUUAUUAUUAUGUCAUUCUGUGAGUAUACUUUUAAAUAAGUUA
Molecule: unclassified non-coding RNA, 159 nt
Filed under: soil metagenome
Description: partial internal transcribed spacer 1
Source: RNAcentral